UGCGCAGGCGGUUCCAUAAGACAGAUGUGAAAUCCCCGGGCUCAACCUGGGAACUGCAUUUGUGACUGUGGAGCUAGAGUACGGUAGAGGGGGAUGGAAUUCCGCGUGUAGCAGUGAAAUGCGUAGAUAUGCGGAGGAACACCAAUGGCGAAGGCAAUCCCCUGGACCUGUACUGACGCUCAUGCACGAAAGGCUGGGGAGCAAACA
This 207-nucleotide ribosomal RNA is filed under the name uncultured bacterium. RNAcentral describes it as "partial 16S ribosomal RNA". It matches the Rfam family "Bacterial small subunit ribosomal RNA", at positions 568 to 774 of the family's 1533-position model. The record is from RNAcentral.